AAAAUUAACAUAAUUAAUGGAGCAUGAAAAUUAACUUAAUUCACGAAAUCAUAAUAAACACAACAACCAAGAUUCUACCCAUAUGAACAUUCAUUCCUAGAGAUGAAUAAUUCUCACACAUAUGCCUUAUAAUUCCAAAAGCUAAGCUUUCCUAGCUCCAAUCUUCCUCUCUACUUUGAUUCUCCUAAGCUUUCAUUCUUUUCUCCCCUUAGCUCUUCUUUCUUCUCUUCCUUUAUAUAUUCUCU
Molecule: long non-coding RNA, 245 nt
Filed under: Medicago truncatula (barrel medic)
Lineage: Eukaryota; Viridiplantae; Streptophyta; Magnoliopsida; Fabales; Fabaceae
Description: long non-coding RNA (MTRU_LNC007605)
Source: RNAcentral